CCUACGGGUGGCAGCAGUGAGGAAUAUUGGUCAAUGGCCGGAAGGCUGAACCAGCCAUGCCGCGUGAAGGUCAGUGCCCUAUGGGCGUUAAACUUCUUUUGUGCGGGAGCAAUAAUGGUCACGUGUGGCCAGACGAGAGUACUGUACGAAUAAGCAUCGGCUAACUCCGUGCCAGCAGCCGGGGUAAUACGGGGGAGGAAAGGGUUACCAGGAUUUUUGGGGUUUAAGGGGUGCGUAGGGUGGGAGGAAAGUCAGCGGUGAAAUGCCCCCGGUCAACGGGGUGAAGUGCCAUUGAUACUGCCUUGCUGGAAUGCGGAUGCCGUGGGAGGAAUGUGUGGUGUAGCGGUGAAAUGCAUAGAUAUCACACAGAACACCGAUUGCGAAGGCAUCUCACGAAUCCGCGAUUGACGCUGAUGCACGAAAGCGUGGGUAUCAAACAGGAUUAGAUACCCCAGUAGUC
This 460-nucleotide ribosomal RNA is filed under the name uncultured bacterium. RNAcentral's name for it is "partial 16S ribosomal RNA". It matches the Rfam family "Bacterial small subunit ribosomal RNA", at positions 338 to 795 of the family's 1533-position model. The record is from RNAcentral.